RNAcentral lists this ribosomal RNA (301 nucleotides) under uncultured bacterium. RNAcentral describes it as "partial 16S ribosomal RNA". It matches the Rfam family "Bacterial small subunit ribosomal RNA", at positions 509 to 809 of the family's 1533-position model. The record is from RNAcentral.
CAGCCGCCGCGGUAAAACGAAGGGUGCAAGCGUUAAUCGGAAUUACUGGGCGUAAAGCGUGCGUAGGCGGUUUGUUAAGUCUGUUGUGAAAUCCCCGGGCUCAACCUGGGAAUGGCAAUGGAUACUGGCAAGCUAGAGUGUGUCAGAGGAUGGUGGAAUUCCCGGUGUAGCGGUGAAAUGCGUAGAGAUCGGGAGGAACAUCAGUGGCGAAGGCGGCCAUCUGGGACAACACUGACGCUGAGGCACGAAAGCGUGGGGAGCAAACAGGAUUAGAUACCCCGGUAGUCCCUGUCUCUUAUAA